GUGCCAGCCGCCGCGGUAAGACGAACCGUGCGAACGUUGUUCGGAAUCACUGGGCUUAAAGGGCGCGUAGGCGGGCUCACAAGUCAGGGGUGAAAUCCCACGGCUCAACCGUGGAAGUGCCUUUGAUACUGUGGGUCUUGAGGGAGGUAGGGGCGUGCGGAACUUCCGGUGGAGCGGUGAAAUGCGUAGAUAUCGGAAGGAACGCCGGUGGCGAAAGCGGCGGGCUGGACCUCUUCUGACGCUGAGACGCGAAAGCCAGGGGAGCAAACGGGAUUAGAUACCCCCGUAGUCC
RNAcentral lists this ribosomal RNA (292 nucleotides) under uncultured bacterium. RNAcentral describes it as "partial 16S ribosomal RNA". It matches the Rfam family "Bacterial small subunit ribosomal RNA", at positions 505 to 796 of the family's 1533-position model. The record is from RNAcentral.